GACGAACGCUGGCGGCGUGCUUAACACAUGCAAGUCGAACGGAAAGGCCCUGCUUUUGUGGGGUGCUCGAGUGGCGAACGGGUGAGUAACACGUGAGUAACCUGCCCUUGACUUUGGGAUAACUUCAGGAAACUGGGGCUAAUACCGGAUAGGAGCUCCUGCUGCAUGGUGGGGGUUGGAAAGUUUCGGCGGUUGGGGAUGGACUCGCGGCUUAUCAGCUUGUUGGUGGGGUAGUGGCUUACCAAGGCUUUGACGGGUAGCCGGCCUGAGAGGGUGACCGGCCACAUUGGGACUGAGAUACGACCCAGACUCCUACGGGAUGCAGCAGUGGGGAAUAUUGCACAAUGGGCGGAAGCCUGAUGCAGCAACGCCGCGUGCGGGAUGACGGCCUUCGGGUUGUAAACCGCUUUCGCCUGUGACGAAGCGUGAGUGACGGUAAUGGGUAAAGGAGCACCGGCUAACUACGUG
RNAcentral lists this ribosomal RNA (468 nucleotides) under uncultured bacterium. RNAcentral's name for it is "partial 16S ribosomal RNA". It matches the Rfam family "Bacterial small subunit ribosomal RNA", at positions 28 to 507 of the family's 1533-position model. The record is from RNAcentral.